CCUACGGGUGGCUGCAGUGGGGAAUAUUGGGCAAUGGGCGCAAGCCUGACCCAGCAACGCCGCGUGAAGGAAGAAGGCUUUCUGGUUGUAAACUUCUUUUCUGAGGGACGAAGAACGUGACGGUACCUCAGUCAUAAGCCACGGCUAACUACGUGCCAGCAGCCGCGGUAAGACGUAGGUGGCAAUCGUUCUCCGGAUUUAUUGGGUGUAAAGGGCGUGUAGGCGGGAAAGCAAGUCAGAUGUGAAAACUCAGGGCUCAACCCUGAGCCUGCAUUUGAAACUGUUUUUCUUGAGUGCUGGAGAGGCAAGCGGAAUUCGGUGUGUAGCGGUGAAAUGCGUAGAUAUACGGAGGAACACCAGUGGCGAAGGCGGAUUGCUGGACAGUAACUGACGCUGAGGCGCGAAAGCGUGGGGAGCAAACAGGAUUAGAUACCCCGGUAGUC
This 443-nucleotide ribosomal RNA is filed under the name uncultured bacterium. RNAcentral's name for it is "partial 16S ribosomal RNA". It matches the Rfam family "Bacterial small subunit ribosomal RNA", at positions 338 to 795 of the family's 1533-position model. The record is from RNAcentral.